GAGUUUGAUCUUGGCUCAGAUUGAACGCUGGCGGCAUGCCUUACACAUGCAAGUCGAACGGUAACAGGUCUUUCGGGAUGCUGACGAGUGGCGAACGGGUGAGUAAUACAUCGGAACGUGCCUAGUAGUGGGGGAUAACUACUCGAAAGAGUGGCUAAUACCGCAUGAGAUCUAUGGAUGAAAGCAGGGGACCUUCGGGCCUUGUGCCACUAGAGCGGCCGAUGGCAGAUUAGGUAGUUGGUGGGAUAAAAGCUUACCAAGCCUACGAUCUGUAGCUGGUCUGAGAGGACGAUCAGCCACACUGGGACUGAGACACGGCCCAGACUCCUACGGGAGGCAGCAGUGGGGAAUUUUGGACAAUGGGCGCAAGCCUGAUCCAGCAAUGCCGCGUGC
Molecule: ribosomal RNA, 393 nt
Filed under: uncultured beta proteobacterium
Lineage: Bacteria; Pseudomonadati; Pseudomonadota; Betaproteobacteria
Description: bacterial SSU rRNA
Rfam family: Bacterial small subunit ribosomal RNA
Source: RNAcentral